This 460-nucleotide ribosomal RNA is filed under the name uncultured bacterium. RNAcentral's name for it is "partial 16S ribosomal RNA". It matches the Rfam family "Bacterial small subunit ribosomal RNA", at positions 338 to 795 of the family's 1533-position model. The record is from RNAcentral.
CCUACGGGUGGCAGCAGUGAGGAAUAUUGGUCAAUGGACGAGAGUCUGAACCAGCCAAGUAGCGUGAAGGAUGACUGCCCUAUGGGUUGUAAACUUCUUUUAUAUGGGAAUAAAACGUUCCACGUGUGGGAUUUUGUAUGUACCAUAUGAAUAAGGAUCGGCUAACUCCGUGCCAGCAGCCGCGGUAAUACGGAGGAUCCGAGCGUUAUCCGGAUUUAUUGGGUUUAAAGGGAGCGUAGGUGGAUUGUUAAGUCAGUUGUGAAAGUUUGCGGCUCAACCGUAAAAUUGCAGUUGAAACUGGCAGUCUUGAGUACAGUAGAGGUGGGCGGAAUUCGUGGUGUAGCGGUGAAAUGCGUAGAUAUCACGAAGAACUCCGAUUGCGAAGGCAGUUCACUGGACUGCAACUGACACUGAGGCACGAAAGUGUGGGUAUCAAACAGGAUUAGAUACCCCAGUAGUC